This 102-nucleotide non-coding RNA is filed under the name Caryophanon tenue. RNAcentral describes it as "Guanine sequence". It matches the Rfam family "Purine riboswitch aptamer". Rfam says of the family: Riboswitches are metabolite binding domains within certain messenger RNAs that serve as precision sensors for their corresponding targets. Allosteric rearrangement of mRNA structure is mediated by ligand binding, and this results in modulation of gene expression. A class of riboswitches that selectively recognises guanine and becomes saturated at concentrations as low as 5 nM. Lineage: Bacteria; Bacillati; Bacillota; Bacilli; Caryophanales; Caryophanaceae. The record is from Rfam by way of RNAcentral.
GUAGUAAAUUAAAUAUGUCGUCGUAUAAAGUCAGGGAUAUGGCCUGAAAGUUUCUACCGAGCUACCGUAAAAAGCUCGACUACGAUUUGAAAUAGCAUGAUC